Molecule: ribosomal RNA, 2986 nt
Filed under: Salmonella enterica
Lineage: Bacteria; Pseudomonadati; Pseudomonadota; Gammaproteobacteria; Enterobacterales; Enterobacteriaceae
Description: bacterial LSU rRNA
Rfam family: Bacterial large subunit ribosomal RNA
Source: RNAcentral
UUAAGCGACCAAGCGUACACGGUGGAUGCCCUGGCAGUCAGAGGCGAUGAAGGACGUGCUAAUCUGCGAAAAGCGCCGGUAAGGUGAUAUGAACCGUUAUAACCGGCGAUGUCCGAAUGGGGAAACCCAGUGUGACUCGUCACACUAUCAUUAACUGAAUCCAUAGGUUAAUGAGGCGAACCGGGGGAACUGAAACAUCUAAGUACCCCGAGGAAAAGAAAUCAACCGAGAUUCCCCCAGUAGCGGCGAGCGAACGGGGAGGAGCCCAGAGCCUGAAUCAGCAUGUGUGUUAGUGGAAGCGUCUGGAAAGGCGCGCGAUACAGGGUGACAGCCCCGUACACAAAAGCGCAUGUGCUGUGAGCUCGAUGAGUAGGGCGGGACACGUGGUAUCCUGUCUGAAUAUGGGGGGACCAUCCUCCAAGGCUAAAUACUCCUGACUGACCGAUAGUGAACCAGUACCGUGAGGGAAAGGCGAAAAGAACCCCGGCGAGGGGAGUGAAAAAGAACCUGAAACCGUGUACGUACAAGCAGUGGGAGCACAGGUUUACCUGUGUGACUGCGUACCUUUUGUAUAAUGGGUCAGCGACUUAUAUUCUGUAGCAAGGUUAACCGUAUAGGGGAGCCGGAGGGAAACCGAGUCUUAAUUGGGCGUUAAGUUGCAGGGUAUAGACCCGAAACCCGGUGAUCUAGCCAUGGGCAGGUUGAAGGUUGGGUAACACUAACUGGAGGACCGAACCGACUAAUGUUGAAAAAUUAGCGGAUGACCUGUGGCUGGGGGUGAAAGGCCAAUCAAACCGGGAGAUAGCUGGUUCUCCCCGAAAGCUAUUUAGGUAGCGCCUCGUGAAUUCAUCUCCGGGGGUAGAGCACUGUUUCGGCCAGGGGGCCAUCCCGGCUUACCAACCCGAUGCAAACUGCGAAUACCGGAGAAUGUUAUCACGGGAGACACACGGCGGGUGCUAACGUCCGUCGUGAAGAGGGAAACAACCCAGACCGCCAGCUAAGGUCCCAAAGUCAUGGUUAAGUGGGAAACGAUGUGGGAAGGCCCAGACAGCCAGGAUGUUGGCUUAGAAGCAGCCAUCAUUUAAAGAAAGCGUAAUAGCUCACUGGUCGAGUCGGCCUGCGCGGAAGAUGUAACGGGGCUAAACCAUGCACCGAAGCUGCGGCAGCGAACGUAUCACUUAAAGCGAUUCAGCGGAUGACGAUUGACGGAGCGAAGCGACGUCAAAGCGUUUUACAACAUCGAGUCGGUUUAAGGAUACGUUCGUUGGGUAGGGGAGCGUUCUGUAAGCCUGCGAAGGUGUGUCGUGAGGCAUGCUGGAGGUAUCAGAAGUGCGAAUGCUGACAUAAGUAACGAUAAUGCGGGUGAAAAACCCGCACGCCGGAAGACCAAGGGUUCCUGUCCAACGUUAAUCGGGGCAGGGUGAGUCGACCCCUAAGGCGAGGCCGAAAGGCGUAGUCGAUGGGAAACGGGUUAAUAUUCCCGUACCUGGUGUUACUGCGAAGGGGGGACGGAGAAGGCUAUGUUGGCCGGGCGACGGUUGUCCCGGUUUAAGCGUGCAGGCUGGUUUUCCAGGCAAAUCCGGAAAAUCAAGGCUGAGGCGUGACGACGAGGCACUACGGUGCUGAAGCAACAAAUGCCCUGCUUCCAGGAAAAGCCUCUAAGCCUCAGGUAACAUCAGAUCGUACCCGAAACCGACACAGGUGGUCAGGUAGAGAAUACCAAGGCGCUUGAGAGAACCCGGGUGAAGGAACUAGGCAAAAUGGUGCCGUAACUUCGGGAGAAGGCACGCUGACACGUAGGUGAAGCGGUUUACCCGUGGAGCUGAAGUCAGUCGAAGAUACCAGCUGGCUGCAACUGUUUAUUAAAAACACAGCACUGUGCAAACACGAAAGUGGACGUAUACGGUGUGACGCCUGCCCGGUGCCGGAAGGUUAAUUGAUGGGGUCAGCGCAAGCGAAGCUCCUGAUCGAAGCCCCGGUAAACGGCGGCCGUAACUAUAACGGUCCUAAGGUAGCGAAAUUCCUUGUCGGGUAAGUUCCGACCUGCACGAAUGGCGUAAUGAUGGCCAGGCUGUCUCCACCCGGGACUCAGUGAAAUUGAACUCGCUGUGAAGAUGCAGUGUACCCGCGGCAAGACGGAAAGACCCCGUGAACCUUUACUAUAGCUUGACACUGAACACUGGUCCUUGAUGUGCAGGAUAGGUGGGAGGCUUUGAAGUGUGGACGCCAGUCUGCAUGGAGCCGUCCUUGAAAUACCACCCUUUAAUGGCUGGUGUUCUAACGUAGACCCGUGAACCGGGUUGCGGACAGUGUCUGGUGGGUAGUUUGACUGGGGCGGUCUCCUCCUAAAGCGUAACGGAGGAGCACGAAGGUUGGCUAAUCCUGGUCGGACAUCAGGAGGUUAGUGCAAUGGCAUAAGCCAGCUUGACUGCGAGCGUGACGGCGCGAGCAGGUGCGAAAGCAGGUCAUAGUGAUCCGGUGGUUCUGAAUGGAAGGGCCAUCGCUCAACGGAUAAAAGGUACUCCGGGGAUAACAGGCUGAUACCGCCCAAGAGUUCAUAUCGACGGCGGUGUUUGGCACCUCGAUGUCGGCUCAUCACAUCCUGGGGCUGAAGUAGGUCCCAAGGGUAUGGCUGUUCGCCAUUUAAAGUGGUACGCGAGCUGGGUUUAGAACGUCGUGAGACAGUUCGGUCCCUAUCUGCCGUGGGCGCUGGAGAACUGAGGGGGGCUGCUCCUAGUACGAGAGGACCGGAGUGGACGCAUCACUGGUGUUCGGGUUGUCAUGCCAAUGGCACUGCCCGGUAGCUAAAUGCGGAAGAGAUAAGUGCUGAAAGCAUCUAAGCACGAAACUUGCCCCGAGAUGAGUUCUCCCUGAGACUACGAGUCUCCUGAAGGAACGUUGAAGACGACGACGUUGAUAGGCCGGGUGUGUAAGCGCAGCGAUGCGUUGAGCUAACCGGUACUAAUGAACCGUGAGGCUUAACCUU